UUGAUGUGUAGGAUAGGUGGGAGGCUUUGAAGUGUGGACGCCAGUCUGCAUGGAGCCGACCUUGAAAUACCACCCUUUAAUGUUUGAUGUUCUAACGUGGACCCGUAAUCCGGGUUGCGGACAGUGUCUGGUGGGUAGUUUGACUGGGGCGGUCUCCUCCUAAAGAGUAACGGAGGAGCACGAAGGUUGGCUAAUCCUGGUCGGACAUCAGGAGGUUAGUGCAAUGGCAUAAGCCAGCUUGACUGCGAGCGUGACGGCGCGAGCAGGUGCGAAAGCAGGUCAUAGUGAUCCGGUGGUUCUGAAUGGAAGGGCCAUCGCUCAACGGAUAAAAGGUACUCCGGGGAUAACAGGCUGAUACCGCCCAAGAGUUCAUAUCGACGGCGGUGUUUGGCACCUCGAUGUCGGCUCAUCACAUCCUGGGGCUGAAGUAGGUCCCAAGGGUAUGGCUGUUCGCCAUUUAAAGUGGUACGCGAGCUGGGUUUAGAACGUCGUGAGACAGUUCGGUCCCUAUCUGCCGUGGGCGCUGGAGAACUGAGGGGGGCUGCUCCUAGUACGAGAGGACCGGAGUGGACGCAUCACUGGUGUUCGGGUUGUCAUGCCAAUGGCACUGCCCGGUAGCUAAAUGCGGAAGAGAUAAGUGCUGAAAGCAUCUAAGCACGAAACUUGCCCCGAG
This 673-nucleotide ribosomal RNA is filed under the name Salmonella enterica. RNAcentral describes it as "partial 23S ribosomal RNA". It matches the Rfam family "Bacterial large subunit ribosomal RNA", at positions 2131 to 2803 of the family's 2925-position model. Lineage: Bacteria; Pseudomonadati; Pseudomonadota; Gammaproteobacteria; Enterobacterales; Enterobacteriaceae. The record is from RNAcentral.